RNAcentral lists this ribosomal RNA (250 nucleotides) under uncultured bacterium. RNAcentral's name for it is "partial 16S ribosomal RNA". It matches the Rfam family "Bacterial small subunit ribosomal RNA", at positions 527 to 776 of the family's 1533-position model. The record is from RNAcentral.
GGGGGGGGCAAGCGUUGUUCGGAAUUACUGGGCGUAAAGGGCUCGUAGGUUGCCAACUAAGUCAGACGUGAAAUCCCUCGGCUUAACCGGGGAACUGCGUCUGAUACUGGAUGGCUUGAGUUCGGGAGAGGGAUGCGGAAUUCCAGGUGUAGCGGUGAAAUGCGUAGAUAUCUGGAGGAACACCGGUGGCGAAGGCGGCAUCCUGGACCGACACUGACACUGAGGAGCGAAAGCCAGGGGAGCAAACGGG